UACGUAGGGUGCAAGCGUUGCUCGGAAUCAUUGGGCGUAAAGAGCGUGUAGGUGGCUAGAUAAGUCGGAUGUGAAAUCCCUCGGCUCAACCGAGGAAGGGCAUUCGAAACUAUCUAGCUCGAGGAUGGCAGAGGAAGGUGGAAUUCCUAGUGUAGAGGUGAAAUUCGUAGAUAUUAGGAGGAAUACCGGUGGCGAAGGCGGCCUUCUGGACCAUUCCUGACACUGAGACGCGAAAGCGUGGGUAGCAAACAGGAUUAGAUACCCUGGUAGUCCACGCUGUAAACGAUGGGUACUAGAUGUUGUGGGAAUUGACCCCCGCAGUGUCGUAGCUAACGCGUUAAGUACCCCGCCUGGGAAGUACGGCCGCAAGGUUAAA
Molecule: ribosomal RNA, 376 nt
Filed under: uncultured bacterium
Lineage: Bacteria
Description: bacterial SSU rRNA
Rfam family: Bacterial small subunit ribosomal RNA
Source: RNAcentral